ACAGAGGGUGCGAGCGUUAAUCGGAAUUACUGGGCGUAAAGCGCACGUAGGCGGCUUUGCAAGUCGGGUGUGAAAUCCCCGGGCUCAACCUGGGAACUGCAUCCGAGACUGCUUUGCUCGAGUAUGGGAGAGGGAAGUGGAAUUUCCGGUGUAGCGGUGAAAUGCGUAGAUAUCGGAAGGAACAUCAGUGGCGAAGGCGACUUCCUGGACCAAUACUGACGCUCAGGUGCGAAAGCGUGGGGAGCAAACAGGA
RNAcentral lists this ribosomal RNA (253 nucleotides) under uncultured prokaryote. RNAcentral's name for it is "partial 16S ribosomal RNA". It matches the Rfam family "Bacterial small subunit ribosomal RNA", at positions 525 to 777 of the family's 1533-position model. The record is from RNAcentral.